RNAcentral lists this unclassified non-coding RNA (566 nucleotides) under Hevea brasiliensis (rubber tree). The record is from RNAcentral. Lineage: Eukaryota; Viridiplantae; Streptophyta; Magnoliopsida; Malpighiales; Euphorbiaceae.
GUCAAAAGCAACAUUAAAUGGGGGUACGUUAUUUAUGGUAUAAAACUAUAUAAUAUGUUCUGAAGGUUGCCCUGCUACUAUAUGCAACUAGUAGUAAAUUUAUGAAUAUAUAAUUGAAUGAUGUCAGCAAAAAGGAGCCAACUUGGAAUGAGGACUUCACUUUCAAUAUUAAGCAAUAUCAAACAAAAAAUCUUCAGGUCAAUACUUGUUCUCUAUCUAGUUUUAUUUCUCAUGUGGGAUUCACUUGUGAUACAUCUCAAGUUCCUUUAUUUCACGCCACAUUUCUUUCUAGUGGCACUGAACUGACACAAUUCUUGUGAUAACUUACAUGUUGGUAUGUCUUCUGAAUCCUGAUAAAUUAUCUGCGUUUGUCAUCUUCAUCUCACCACUUUUACUAGGUUUGCUAGCAUGCAACUGACAAUGUUGGUGAUUGAUAAUUAUAUUUGUGUGGUACAAAUGCAUGAUUUAAAACAUUCGCAAUUAGUUGUAAAUAUUUUGGAAAAUCAUGUGUUCAGAAUAAAAUAUUAUACAAUUGCAACUUAUUCUCUGACUUGCAAUUGUGAACG